This 17622-nucleotide long non-coding RNA is filed under the name Lotus japonicus. RNAcentral describes it as "long non-coding RNA (LJAP_LNC001118)". The record is from RNAcentral. Lineage: Eukaryota; Viridiplantae; Streptophyta; Magnoliopsida; Fabales; Fabaceae.
UAGAAGUACGAGUAUCAUGGAUAUAGGACACUCUGAAUAUAUAUAGGAAAAAAAAUCACUGAUAUGGUUCUAAAUCUAAUUGACAAGAAGGUUUCAAUUUUUUAUUGUCUUUUACUAACAUUUUAUUAUCACUAAACUUAGUUCUCUUGAAUUUCUCUAUAGGACAAUCAUUGCAAGGCUCAGGGCUGGAAAAAAAAGAUUGUGCUUGAUGUGGCUUCAUCAGGUAAAUAACUACUCUAUAUCUAUCUUAUGCUUUUCUAUAUGAAUAUCUCAUAGAACAAAAGUCAAUCUAUAUCCUAUAAAAAGAGAAAUUUCAUUUCUACACAAGGUUCUUCAAAUUUACUAACACUAACAAUAAAAUCAGAAACCAAAAACAUAUAUAUGUCAAGCUGAAACACUCACAGUUACUCCCUCCUUGCUCGAUACCACCACAGAAUGAGCCUAGAUAGUAUACUUCCUGUGAAAAAACAUAGUAUUGUAGUGUUAAUAUUGUUUAUUAUUAUUGAAUUAGAAUAAAAAAAAUUGUAAGAGAAAAGGAUAUCAUAUAUAUAAAGGGUCAGAGGAAAAGCUCCUCCCAGAUUAUACAACAAGGAAACAAAAUUGAUCAGUACAAAACAGCAGCAAAACUACAAGGUAAGAAUAAAAGUAGUAGAAGCUUAAAAGAAUACAAAGUAAAAUUAGAACCCCAGGAAGAGUAGACAUUGCAGAAAUUGCACAUCUUGGUUGCAGACCAGGGGAGACAAUCACGAACGGAUAAGUGCUCCUUAAUACAAAUUCUCAAAAAGCAAGUAAAACCUCAAGACUCCUUCAUUUCAAUAGCAAUUUCUACCCUUAAGGUUUAAAUGACAUUUUUUUAGGGAAGGUUUAAAUGGUUGUUUUAAUACUAUUAUUUAAUUUAAUGACAAUAAGAACCAACAAACAAGAAAUAAUUCAAUUAUAGAGGAAGAGGUAAACACAGAAUAGCCCACAAAGAACAAAAGGCAGUGAAGAAAAUACCUCCACAAAUCAAUGACAUGGAGGGAGAGGAGGAACCUUCAAUUCAAACUCCAUUAUAUGACCAUACCAUAGAGAGAAUAUCAUGGUAACACUACUACUUUAGUCUACAAUUAUGAACUCUAUGGGCCUCGCUGGAAGUCACGCAGCGGUGGUCAUUUGUCCUGUGCAACACAAGUUUGACAAAGAAACAAAAUUGGGUGGGACGGGGGUCAGUGGUGUGGGUCGCAUGUCCGACGGAAGUUGUCGGAGGCCUGGCUGGUGGUUUCGUGGUCGUAAGGGAAGGAGGAGGAGAAGAGGAGAGGCCAGGUGUGGUGGCUAGGGUUUUUGUUUUGACAAAAAGGGGAAGCGUGUCUCACUCUCCCUUUUCUCAUAUAUUUGUUAUUUUUUAUUUAUUUAUUUUUUUUGUCAAUUUUUUUUUAAUUCAAUGUGGACUUACUCCUAUUGUGUGGCUGCCUUCUUUUUUUUUUUUUUACGGUGGUUGCCUUUUUUUUAAAAAAAUAUUUAGCCAUAAUAUUAAUUUGUCAUGGUUUCAUAUUUUAAAAUUCUUAAUUUUGUAAUUUUUUUGUUCUAUUUACAAAACUAAAACGUAAUUUUAAUAUUUACUUUUGUUAUUGAUGAUAAAUAUUUGAAUUAUUCUUACUAAAAAAUAUUUAACAAAUAUUUAUCUUUUUAUUUAAUCAAUGAUGAUUGAACUUAAUAAUACAUUUUUUUAGUAACUUAAAAAUACAUUUUUACAAACUAAAUAAUCACACUAUAUUAAUAUGUAUUAAAUUCAUUGUACUCUAAUCUUUUAUUUUUUUUAAAAAUUCCAGGGAGCGUAUCAUUAUUAAUUACUACCUUGAGGUACAACACUCAUAGUCGAUUUAAAAUACCUCUAGAUGUUUUUGAAGAUAGUACGAGCUUAAUCAAGUAAAAUACUCAGCUUGCUCAAUUAAUAAUUCAAAUAAAUUUGAUUAUUUGGAAUGAAACACCUAUGACUAAAAGGUUGGCAUUUGAAUCCCUUGAUAGAACACUAAAAGACAUUGUUGGUUUCUUCAAGAUCUUUAUGUUUUCUAAAAGUAUGAUCGUUGACACUUCAUCAUCUGCUCAACUUAAUUUAUUGGCAUCUGAAUUCAACAAAUGGAUAUUGCAAAUGAUAAUAUAUAUAACUGAACAAGAGUUCAUGUAUCCGGUGAAGUUCUUGAAUUCUUUAAAUUUCAAUAAUACCCAAACCAUUGUUGCACCUUAAAGUAGGAAUGUCAAUUAUGCUACUCAGGAACAUCAAUCCAACCCUAGGAAUGUGCAAUGGAAUAAAACUAAUUAUUGUACAUCUAGGAGAAUAGAAAAUAGAGUCGCAAAUACUUCAGGAAGUAACACUGGUGCAAAAGUGCUUAUAACACAUAUAGUUUUUACCACAAAUAAUUCUAAAUGAUAUUUUAUGCUAAGAAGAAACAAUUUUCAAUAAAGUUUGUUACACCAUGACAAUUAACAAAAGCCAAAAUCAGUCAUUGAACUAUGGGAGAUUAUAUUUGCCAAGACAUAUAUGCUCUCAUGACCAAUUAUAUUUGCGUUGUUUAAAGUAAGAUUACCAAAGGGAUUGAAAUACUUAUUGUUGAGAAAGAUGAUACAUAUGCGUAAUAUACGAAAAAAUUUAGUGUACAAUGAAGUUUUUGAUGAACUUUCAUUUAAUAUUCUUACCUUUAUACAAAUUAAAAUAUCACAAUUUAAAAUUACAACUUAAAACAAAUCUGUGCAGCGCAUAGGUAAAAGAACCCAUACUUGAAUGCAUUGUACCAAACAUCACAUUUUCUUUGUAAUAAAUAUAUUACACAAUAAAAUUAACUUAUUGCUUAAAUUAAAUAUUUCAAAGUAAAUUAGCAAUUUUUUAUGUCAUUGGAUAAAUAAAUUUUUAAGUUGUUAAGAUUAUUUCUAUGCUAAUAAUUAUAUAAUUUGAGUACUAUUAAUUAUUUACACAAAAAAUAACUCUAAUUAUAUUUAUUGAAAUGUCUUAAUUAACACAAUUUUUUUAUAUUUAUAAUUAAAAUUAUUUUAAAUUUUAUUUAUUUAAACUAUAAUAAUUUAUAUAUAAUGUUCUAUAAUAUUGUAAGUAAACCCGUGCAACGCACGGGUAUAAUAUCUAGUAAGUGUAUGUAAUACAGGAGUAACGAAAAAGAUUCCUUUUAGGAAUGGAACUGUAACAAUAAGAAAGAGAAAUGUAGAUAGAUAUGAUAGAAACAACAAUGACCAUUCUUAAUUAGAACUCAAAUGCCCAUAUAAAAUAUCACUAAGCAAUGGUUGAUAAUCUAGUUGGUUUUGAUCGUUGCUUCUCCUUAAAUAGUAUGCUAAUUUAUUGUGGAUGUGAUAAGUGUAAAAUUACAUAGUUUUCCAUAUUACUUUGAACACUUAUCAAUGAUAAAAAGUGUGUACUUCAUAUUUAUUUAACCCUGAACUGUGUAGUUUAGUAAAUAAUUAGAUUUAUUAUAGAUUUUAUGUUAAAUUUUGAGUCUAGUCCCUAUUUUUGAUGUAGAAUGGAUGCUAAAGAGAAUUCAUGUAGAUUUCAUUAAAGAAAAGAAAUAAGAGGAUGAAGAAAUCCAUUUUGGAGAAAAGAAUUUCGCUCAAGCGAGAUGAAAUUUCGCUCUAGCGAGCUACGACGGUGCAGGAAACCCACAUGUGAAGAAAGCUACUCGCUGGAGCGAACCUAAAUCUUGCUCGAGCGAAACUAAAGCGGCAUAAAGUCUAUAAAUAGUCUAAAACAGGGCAAAACAAGGGGAGUUCAAACUUUCCCAUCUUUUCUUCAUUUCUCUUCACUUCCAGAACUUAGAAACAUGGGAGAAAGCUAAGAGCACUUGGAGAAGAGGCUUGAGUGUCGAAUUCGACGACGAGAUAUCGCAGAGUCUUCGGUUCUUUUCCAUGUUUGUAAAUAACUAAUCUCUCUUGUUGGGGUUAGAUGUAGUUGAUAAAUCUCUAUUUAUUCUAUUUGAUUCAGUUUAUAUAUUAUCAUGUUUCUUUGCUUAUGGUUUAGUGGUUUUCUCUUGAUUUUCAUACUAUAUUUUAGAUGAAUCACAUAAGAUAUUUUGCUUGAUUCGACUUGUGAGCGGAAACUACAACGUUUUGAGUCCGAACUAGAGUUAAUCACAUAAUAAUCCUAAUUGCCAGAGAGAGUUAGGUUAGUUAGUCAAUGAACACCUAAACUUCAUGAUAACUUUCUUUCUUAAUCAUGUGAGACAUCAAUGUUUAAGAUUAGAGAGUUAUUGCUAUUCACUCAUGCGAGACAUCGAUGGUGUAGGGUUGAACUGGUGUAGAUGAAUCAUAUGCAGGAUACAGAAAGGUUAAUCAAUGGAAUCUAAUCCCAGCAGUUUCUCAUGUUGUUUUCUAUUUUGUUUUGCUUUGUUUUUAAUUUAUGUUUGUUACAAAAAUCCCUUCAAAAUAUUGUGAAAUCUCAUUGCUUAAUCUACAAAAACUAUUGAACAAAAUAAUAUUACCAAUUUCCUGCAGAUACGAUAAAAUCAUAUGCUAUAUUGCAAUUGAAUCUUGAGGAUUUCGAAAGUAGUAUUGGUGUAGAAAAAAUUUCUCAACAGCAUGGUCAUAAAUUUUUAUAGAGGAUUUUACGUAACAUACAUUCUUGGGUAACAUUUGAAUGAGAGAAGUCAUUAAAAAUUUCAAAUAAAACUGAAACACAAUGAAUAAAUGGUUACAUAAUGAUUAUUGAAAAAUUAAAAGCUUGGUUGAAACAUUUGUUUUAGGUAACGCAAAGCUUAAAUUUUUUAAUGUAUAAAUUUAUACGUGUAAAAGUUUUUCCAUGGACAAGAACUUGAGAUGGAAAGCACAAUGAAUUCGAUUGUCAAAAUUUCCUUAUUAUUAGUUUUGGUCGUAAUUUCUUCAGGUUAUAAGUCUUGCUUAACUCUUAAUCUGUAUUUCAUAUAUUAGUUAAAGUAAUGUCUCUUAUAUAGACAUGAUUCUUAUUAUUGCCAUAUAUGUACUAUUUGUGAGCGCAGAUAUGUGCAAGAAAUCAGAUGCACGUUUGGGUGGUGUUGUGAGUUUCCGCUGCGAAAUUGACGAACAUUGUAACGAUGGUUGCAAGUGUUGUCGGAAGAUUUGUUUUUGUCCAUAUAAUAUGCCACCUAUUCACGGCCUCUGUGACGGUGAUUAUUCAAGGAUACAUUCAAUGGAAAGUAACGGAAGUGAAGCACCUUAUAGCAAAUAAUAUUUGAAUUAAUGAUUGCAUCUCAUUGUAUGUGAAAAAGUUACCAUGUCAACUAAAAUUUACAUUUGGCUUAAUCUUUCUUGAUUCAUUUCUGCAUUUUGUAGAAUUUACAAUAACCUGAAUUUGAUUAUGUAAAGUCACGUGAUUCAUCAUUCAUGUACUACAAAACUAUGAUAACACCCAUACACGUUGUUUUUGUGGUGAACCACUCAUUUUGGUAUAAAUAUUUAUGAUGUGAUAUAAGAAGAGAGAUAAGUAAGAAAAAAAUGUAUAUGACAAUUCUUAGUGCCGGAAGCGGAUGAAGUAUAAAUAAUAGGCGGACGAUGAGGGACGAUCACAUCGUCCAAUAGUUAAAUGGAUGGUACUUGGCUAACCCGAAUCUCUUCACUCCUCAUCUCACUUACCUCACUUUCUUUUUAGUUCAAAAAAAUCUAAUUCGAAUCUCGAUCUCUGGAAUCGAAACCAAGACCAACGAGCCUCCAUUCAAUCGCUCUUUUGUCUAUUAACACAAUUUUACCUUCUUUCACAUUUCCUUCCUUACAUAAAGCAUCGACCAAUAUAUUAAAAGUAUAAACAUCCCGCCCCGGUCAAUGUUUUUCGCUAUCAUUUCAUCCAUCAAAACAAUUGCUUCUUUCAAUUGACCCACGAUGCAAAAACCAUAUAUUAAAGAGUUGUAAAUGAUAGCAUUAAGUAAAACUUUCUUGCUAACCAUUUCAAAAUAUAAAUCGUAGGCAACACUUACAAGUUUAUCUUUGCACAGGAUGUCCGUGAUGGUGUUGUACAUUACCACAUUAGGCUUAACCAAUUUCCCUUCAACUUGUCUCGACAACUGCAAUGAAGCUCUUGUUUUCCCUAUCUUACAUAACCCAUUGACCAACGUCUCGUAACUAACUUGAUCCAACCGAAACCUCUGUGCUACGACAUCAUCAUGAAAUUGCAAUGCCCUCUGAACCUUACCAUUAAGACAAAGACCUUUCAUCAGUGUAGUCAAGCUGAUGAUAUCUGGUCCAUAACCCCUCUUGAGAGUUUUGCCGAGUACGGAAAAAGCGGAGGCAAUUGGACCUACGUGGCAAGAAUUAGUCUUUUGGUUUCGGCUGUGAAGCACUUGUAAAUUUUAUUUUUAAUUAACUAGUAAAUUGUAUUAUGAUAACAAAAAUAUCAUAAUAGUGAUAAACAUAAAGAAAUUUAAUUUAUAUACAGUGAUAGUGUAUAUAAUUUUACACAUACAUGGAACAACAUCUUUUUAUUUUUCAAAAAAAAAGAAUUUUAUACAUACUCGAUAAGUGAGAGACUAAUUUUUUCUAGGCAUUGUCAGGCACAAAGUGGGGUCGCCCCAUUCCACUCGAACAAACAUAAUCAAGCAUUGAACAUGGUUUGUAUGUGGAAUCAUAAUUAUUGAAAAGUCAAUUGGUCAUUUCCAAUUCUAAUUGGUUACCCAACUUGUUUACGAUAUGUUUUAUCACCGCUUUCUUUUAAUUAUUGUACUUAUUACUUAAGUGAUUUUGUUAAAGAACGACAUUGUAUUUGCAAUUUCCUUAUGGACACGAUAUAACCCUUAUUAUAAUACACCGAAUGUUGAGGAAUUGAGAGUAGCGUAGUAAAUGUUCUUUCAUUAGAAACUCCAUACAAGCUAGCUUUCAUCAAAGAAGAAGUUUCCCCAGUAGAAAUCGGUGAACCCUCAUGGCUAGUUUAGCCCAUAUAUUCCAAGCGGGCACAAAUAAGCACGUCAUCCGCGAAGAGCUAGACAUGAUCGAGGAACUAAAAGAGGCGGAAAAGAUAUGAGAAGCUGUUGCGAAGUAGAAGAUAAAGUCUUGAUACAAUUCAUAUGUGAUUGUUAGAAGCUUCUGACUCGCAGAUUUGAUCCUGCGAAGAGCAUAUAAUGGCCCCAGAGGAAUUGAGGAGGAAAAGUUCACCUCAAAUUAGGAUUGAUACCGGAAAAGUAACAUACAUGAUGAAGACUCUGUAAGGAAAAGAAGUGAUGCACUACUUGAAUAUCGCCAACCUUAGGAGGUAUUAAAGUUGACUUUACUAGCUUAAAGUCUUUCGUUAUCACUUUUUAUUUAUAGUCAAACUUUUUGCAUUCAAAAUGUUUAUCAAUACACGAGUUUCUUGAUUGCGUACUUAAUUAUGCUUGUACCCUACUGAUGACGAGCGACUCGUCUGAUGCACGCGACUCCUCUCUUCAAUGAGGCCUAAGGUUGGACUCUCACCUGGUACGUACGCCAGCUUGGCUCGGACAGGACAGAUCAACUUACAUGAUGACGAGCAAAAAACAGACCUAGAUCAUAUUUAACCUACUAGGCCUUGGACGUAGGAGUACCACUAUCAGAGGCAAGUUCUCCUAGCAGUGCGACAACCAAGACUAAGUCACAAUACUAAGGACCUUCAACAAAAUUUUCAUAAUAGAGGCAGCCCCUAAUACACGCGACAACUAGGAUCAAGUCACAUCGCUUAGUACCUCAACAAAGUCCCCUGUCCGAGGCAACCCUUAUGAUAAGUGCAGCACUAGGACUACACUUACUACCUCCAACAAAGUCCUUAAUCGAAAGCAACCCUCCUGCUACAAUCAAGACUAAGCCACAACACUUCCCUUAUUAGAGGCAACUCCUCUAAUACUCUUGAAAACCAGGACUAAGCCACAAAACUUAGUACCUGCAACAAUGUCCCCUAUUCGAGGUAACCCCUCUGAUACGCACACUAGCAGGAUUAAGUCGCAAUACUUAGUACCUCCAUCAAAUUCCCUUAUCCAAGGAAACCUCUCUAAUCCAUGCAACGCCUAAGACUUGUUUGUUAGGGAAGAGAUAUUGAAGAGAAAGAUAGAGAGGAGAUGGAGAAUCUCUCUUGUUUGGUGAGUUGGAGAGAGAUCGAGCGGAGAAAAAUUGGUGGGACCCACCAUUUUUUGAGUCUCUCCAAAUUGGAGUGAAAUUGGUGGGUGUUUGGUUUUUAUUUUUUUAGAGUUUUUGUACAAUUUUGAGGGUCUGAGACCGCCAUAACUUGUUCUUAGACCGCCAGAAAGGUGUUAAGAUCUCAUCUUUUUUUUCUUCUAUAUUUUACUCGUUUUGUGGCAGUUUCCAACCGUCAUAAAUAUAUCAGAAUCUGUCACGAACUUACUAAAGCUGGAUAAAAGUACUUUUAAAUAUAAAUGGUAUAUUUCUCUCUAUUCUAUAUAUCUCUCUCCUCUCUUUUUUAUCAUAUAAUACAACUUACAAAUUUACUAUAUUUCUCACUCGUUUGUUUCUACUCAACUUCACUCUUUCUACUCUCUCUUCUCCACUUCUUUACUAAAUACAGUGUAAGUCACAAUACUUAGUACAUUCAACAAAGUCCUUUAUCCAAGGCAACCCCUUUGAUACACGCAGAACUAGAGGUAAGUCACAUUAUUUAGGACCUCAACAAAAGUCCCCUGUCUGAGGCAACUUUACUCUUUAGAUAAAAUAGUCUGCAUUUGGUUUUUCAUUGAAGGGGUUGUAUAAAUGAUCAAUGACAAAGUUUGAGUUAAAUAACUCAUCAUCUAAUCACAUUGAAGAUAAGUGAGAUGGAAAUAAAUUAAUAGAUAUAAUAUAGAAAUUCUAACUCACUUAUCUUCAAUGUAAUUGAAUGAUGAGUUAUUUAACUCAAACUUUAUCAUGGGUCAUUUAGACAACCCGUAAAGAAGUUUUUUGCAAAUGCAGGAUAUAUAGAAGAGUUACACGAAUCGAACUUUGCAUAAAUGACCAAUUCUAGAAGUUUUUCUCGCGAUGCAAAAAUCAAGUAGACAGGUAUAUGAUAACUAUAAUACAAUUAGUUAAAAACACAUUGAUAUAAGAGCAUAAUCUUGUGGCUUGACAGAAUCUCAAAGCAUUACAUUUUGGAGUUAGAACGAAAUACAGUAGUGUCAAAGACUUUGAGGAAAAAACGAGUUCUUGGGAUUGAGAGCCAAGUCUGCAAUAUGGUGCCAAUGGUAGCAAUCAGUUUCCUCUUCACUUCUGAAUUUAUGCCACCCAUUGAAAUUACCUCAGCAUACGCAGCUGGUUCUUUGUUACCCUCAAAUGACAUUGGCACUGACGACUUCAAUAGGACCAUCACAAACUGCAAAAGUUAUAGUCACAAUACACAUUAAGAAGGAACAAUGAAGACUACAAUAGAUGCACAAAUAUUUUUGACAAUGUGUAUUUUGAAGUUUGUUGUGUUAUCAAAUGUUAGUACGUCUCAUAUUUGAAGAAAAUGACCAAUUUUAAGUAGUUUAUGAGUGAGAUAACUCAUACACUUAAUAUUUUAGAUGAUUGUUAGCUCAAUGUAAAAAUCCUCAUAGUUUAAAGCAUCUCCUUUGACCCAACAAAGUUAUCAUAUGAACUUGAGUGAACCUGUUUCACUGUUUCAGUAUUGACUACAUAAGUAUUACUAAGAUAAUCAAAUAAAUUAAGAUAAUCAAAUAAAUGAUAGAACAAUUCUCACUUCUAAACUUUAAAUUUUAGUAGAGGGAGACUAAUUGAAAUUCUAAUAAACAUAUAUAUAUAUAUAUGAUUACAGGGCCUUUUAGACAAUACUAGCUGUAGCAUUCUAAUUAUUCCGAAGGAUAAGCGACAGCCACAACACUCAUAUGGGUGUCAUAAUGAAUUUCUCUUGGUGUGAGACUGCAUACCUACAGGUUGGCUAUGGGAUUUUGUAUGUUAAAACACUAUGUAGUCUUUUAUAAAUUGGAUUUAAAAAUCACAGAAAAAGAAACAUAUGGGUUGUAUGCUCAUUUUAAAUUUUUUUUAACAUGUAAAGUGAAAAAAUUAUGAAAAAAAAGUGGUGUAUUAAGUACUACUAUUUUUUAAGAGAUGGGAUUUACUGUAGGGCUACCCAUAAACAAAUAAUAGUGGUGUUGGUGCAAGGGGUCCCAUGAUAAAGAUGAGGAUUACUGCCUCCAGAAAUGCAAAUUGUAGAAGUAUAAUGUGCCUUCAACUAUCCUUCCACUUGUCACAGAUUAUAGUAGGGAAAGAAAAUGGGAAGAUCCAUGGUAUCAUAUAUUAGUUACUAUCAAAUUAUAUUAACUUUCAGAAACUAUAGAUCUUUUUCAUUUUAAUUUGUCCUGUAGGCCAUAGCUGUCCUGCUACAAGGAGACCACACCCUGUACAACCAUGAAUCAUAAAGUUUAAAGAAUAAUAUUUUAUUCACAUCUCAAUUUCACCCACACACAAAGAAAUAAAAAGAGAAGAUAGAAAAAUAAGAGAUGUAAUAGAAAAUGCACAAAGAAAUAAAAAAAUGAAAAUAAGAGAAAGUGAGUGAGACUGAAUCAAAACCCAAGUUUAAAACAUCAAUUUCUUAAUUGUCACAUUAUUUUAUUAGUGGGAUCUGAUUUUGCAUGCCUUUGUUCACAAUCACAAAGAUCUCACUCUUCCCCAUAUACCAGAGAUUCCUUUGACUCCAAGUUGCCUGAGAAUAUGAUUAAGCAAUAAUUAUUUAUUCACACCUCAAAAUGAGGUGGAAUGAGGUGGAGGAAGAGAGAGAUAGGAAGAAAAGAAAAAGUAAGAGUGAGAAAGUAUAAGAUGUGAUAGAUGAUAAGAGGAGAGAGAUAGAAAUAAAAAUAUGUGUGUAUAUAUCGAUUAAUUAAACCAAGGAUCCAGAAACUAAACUAGCUGUUUGAUUUCUUGAUCCAGAAAGGCAGAAACUAAACUACACCAAUAUAAGAAGAGAAAGGAUAAAUUGCAUACAAGCUUGCCUUCAGAGCAAUGAAGAAACGGUUUUAUGUGUCAGAUUACUUAAUUAGCUAUAAAAUAAUCUUGUUGGGUCUAAUCUAGCUGGAGAUCAACUAACAAUUGACCCAUUAAUCAUAUAUGUUUGGAUUUCAAGUGAUGCACAUGUGUAACUUCAGAUUAACACGAUUUUGCGGGUGAACUUAGAUUCCAGAAACCAAACACAAUUUAACUCAAUUGAAUGUCGAAUCCAAAUUCCAAAUUUACCAAAAGAAAACCAAGGAAGAACAUGAUUCACUUUAACGAAGAACUACCAUACAAUCAAACAACAGAAAAAAAGGAAAAAUAAAACAGAGCCAAUAAUUUUGUGUCAAGCCCAACAAGGAUUCUUACACACAACAGGGCUAAAUAUCUUAUGAUAAAUGAAUCUUUAGCUGAAAUAGAAAGAAAGACACACACCUUUUUGGGUUUACCAAUGAUUGUGGAGACCGCAGUGGUGGCUUCAGAAAAGAUGGGAUCCGUGUCAACUCCAUCUAAGUUAAGAUUAGUGGUGAUGUAAAGGCAAGGCAUCUUCUUCCUCUUUUUCUGUACUGCUUUCUAGUCUUUCUUUGCUCAAAGACUUGUAACCCAAGGUGGUUUGAUAAUGUGCCUAUAUUCCAAUUCAAGACAAUCCCAAUUCCCAUGAUAUAUAUAUAGAUGCUAGUAGAUUUACAUGGAUUUGUAUUAGCCUUGACUUGAACUUCUUCUAUUUCUUCUAUUGCAUAUAAGAAUGUCACCUCAAUAUUUUUAUUCGCAAUAAAAUGAGUUUUUUUGUGUAGACCAAAUAAAUUACCGACGGAUAAAACCGUUGGUAACUAGCGACAAAAAAAGCCGUUGAAAAAAUGGUCGAUAAUUAGGGAUGGAAAAAGUCAUCAAUAAAUUAACAACGGAAAAUGUCGUUGAAAAAAUUACCAACUAGCCAAACAACGAUAACUAUUUGGCUGUCGGUUGCCGUCAGUAAUUAAGAUUACCGAUAACUUUUGACCAUCGAUAAAAAGCAUUUUUCGUACGGUGAUCAUGUGUCAGUAAUGUGCAUGUUAUUUUAAGUUUUCUUAUUAUAUUGUUGAUUAUGUACAAUUUCUUUUACUCUACAUAUACUUAAGUUGUAUGUCAAUUUUUUGUCUUUUAGUGCUUUAGAGAGGUCACCAAAGAAACCCUCAUGUGAAAAGUCUAGGUGGCACUAAGUUCCGUAAAUGGGUGGAUCUCACACUGCCAAAUUGAGGGAAAAAACUAAGUAGGAAUGUGAUAAACAUUUGCUAUAUUUUCAGGAUUAAAACUAAGAAAUAUUUUUUUAAGGAGUAAAACCAACAAUUGUUAUAUUUUCAGAAACCAAACACAUAUUUAAGCCAAAAACUAAUGAGGAUAUAUUAAGGCUAUGUUUGGCACGUUUAACUGAUAAGCUAGCUGAAAGCUGAAAAGCUACAUAAUUGUAACAAAAGUGUUUGGUAAAACUAGCUGUUGAACAUAAAAGGACAUACUUGUAUAAUUAUUUUUAUAUUUAACAUUACUUUAUUUUCACAUUAAUACCUAUAAAAUAUUAAUAUUAAAAUUAUUAUAACUUUAAAUAUUUUAAUUUCACUCAAUUUAUUUCUCAUCUUAAAAAUAUGUUUUCCGAAGGAAAAAAAAUCAUCUUUAAAAUAUAGUAUUAAUUUUUAUUACAUAUAAGGCUAAAUGUGAAAUUUUCAUAAAAUAAUAAGGAUAAAAAUGAGAAUAUAUUUAAUAAGCUUUAAGCUUUAAGCUACUGAAAUAAGCUCAUUCACCAAACAUUUUUAUAGAGCUUUUAAGCUAGUCAAAUAAGUUAUAAGCUAGCUGAAAUGACAUGUCAAACAUAGCCUAAAUGUGAGAAAGUAUUUUCUGUUUUUAUUUUUUUUAUUUUGCAUACUUAAAUAAGAUAAAAAUAAAUAAUAUUUGUAAUUUAUAACAACAACAUUUUGUUAUAAAAAAAUUUCUUAAUAUUAUAAGGUGGCUGUUAGGGUGCAAGUGCACACUAGAUUUUGCACCAUACAAGAGCAAAUUUUACCUAUUAUAACAGGUAAAGUAACCUGCUGAGAAAAAAAAAAGUCAUAUUACAAAAUUAUCCUUCUAUCCUUUCCCUCUUCCACCUUUGUCCUCCACCGCACAUCCUCUUCCCCCUCCCCGCCUCCAUCUCCCUCACGGCCUCACCCACCAUACUCAUCCCAAAAACCCAGAUAGAACACCAACAAAGAAUAAAACAUAUUAAAAUUAUUCUACAUUUAUCCUAAAAACCAAAUAGCUUUACAGACAAACCCAAUUACAUCAGGUUGGGUGGUGAUGAUGGUUGCACAACGAGAUCUUCUUCGCAGGUUCAUGUGCGUCUGCUCCAUAUUCAUAACCCAAAUCCACAAUUGCAUCCUUUGCUGCAGAACCAUUACCCUAGUUCCCAAAGAGAAUUUGAAACAAAACAAUAAGCAGAUCAACAUAAAAGCCAUAAAUCAAGUUGAUCAACAAUAAGCAAAAUCACUUUCCUUCAUCCUCAGGGCUUUAAUGUAAAAGUUAAAUUAUAUUUAUAAUAAAUAAUAUAAAACAAAUUACAAGUUGAACUUGAAAACCCAGUUCCCCGUUUCCCUCACUGCCAAGUGUUGAUAUCUCAUUGGGCAUUAGAUGUAUGGCACCGGUGCAAUACCUAAGACGUAUUGCACCUUAUACUCCACCAUAUUAUAAAGUCAAACUUCACCAAAAGAAACAAACAAUUGGUGAUCUGAGGCCACUAUCUAGUGCCUUCUUGGGGGGAGGGGGACCUCUCCACGAGCUAAGCAUUUUCAACAUCUUUUGAUGAAUAUCCAAGAAAAAGGGGUCGAGAUGAUAUAUCUUUCUCACUUUGCGCCACUUGAUACAAAGAUGUCUAUUGUCUAGCUAGAAAAUGAACUAGUGUCUACUUUAUGCACAACAUGACUUGUGCAGUUAUGGUUCCUUUCAAUAUUCUUCGUGUGUCUCUUUUUGCCGGGAUUUAAUUCAUCGCACCAUAUUUUUUCUUCUAUCUCAAUUUCAUCAUUUUUUAUUUUUUAUUUUUUUUCUAUAAAAUCACUUAUUAUAUCUUCCAUUUAUUCAAUUAAUCAACUUGUUUUUUAUCUCGAUCUCUGAAUGUAAAUCGGGUGUCAUGAUAAGUUUUCUCCUCUUUCAUUCCUAAUCGGAAGUGGGCAUACAAGACAUUCUCUUGGUGCAUCUCUUCUUCCCCCCAUCUUCAAUGGAUUCCAUCAAAUGAAGUGUCAGUAUCAUCUAGUAGGUAAAGUCCAGAUUGAGGGAUCGAUGUAUGUAAAAAAAGGUGAAUUGGUUUAUAUCCAAAAAGUGUGAAACAUAUUUUCAUUAUUCAUAAGACAUAGAGAAACUAAGGACUAGGGCAUUACUUUACAUAUAAGAUAUAACCCACAUCAAACACAACCAAUAAUCAAGUUGCUACUAUUCUUAAUGAUUGUUUCCAGUUUUGUCGUUCUUUUGAUUUUAUUUCCCUUUCUUUUGUUUGCCGCUCUGGCAAUACUAUGGCUGACUAUUUGACUAGACAUGCUUCUUCUUUCGCCGGCUGUGUGUGGAUUGAGGAGGUUCCUCAUGAGAUUGAGACUUUUGUAACUGCAGACAUUUUGGCUUCUAUCCCGUUUAAUAUAUUGCAGUAACAGUUCAAAAUAAUCAAGUUGAGAACAAAUUGACAGGAUGAGAGGACGAGGAUUUGAGCCAUUGGCAAAAUAACUGACGUCAUUCUCUCAAGUCUCAUCAGACCAAUCUCAUGAAAUAGAGGGUUCAACAAAUCUCCGCACCAAGACUACAAUGGGGACAAAGUUUGUCUAUUUAUGCAUUGCUUGGAAGGAAUGAAAAUGCAUAGAAAAGGAAAGUGACAAUAGAAGAGACAGAUUUCUAGGAGUUUUCUCUCUUUUGUUGGAGCAAAAACAUGACGGACAAAUUUUGUAUAAUUUUAACUAAAUUUUUAAAACUAAUUUUCUUGUCAGGUGUAAUUGUUAGGUUUAAUUUUUUAACUAAAUAUAUUUAUGUCAUUUUUUAAAUAUACUAUUCUCUUCUGUCCUAUUUUUCUUUUCACUUUCUUUUUAACCAAACAACUUUAAAAUUAUCUUACUUUCUACCAUCUUUUUUUCUUUUCUCUUUUUUUCUUUUCAUUUUCUUUUCUCACACUUUUCUUCUAUUUAUCAAACAUACCUUUAGCCGGCCUUUGAUCUCGAAGAAGUUAGGAGAUUCAAUAGCUCGACAUACAUGUCUAAUUAGCCCAAGAGGCGGUCGCUAAAUUGGAAGCGUAGGGCCAACAUCCAUGUCAUUGUGAAUUUGUGGUGCAGUUACUUAAUUAUAAAUUUUUUGUAUUUGUGAUAUUAGUAAAGGUGAGUUUGAAUAAGUCAAAGAUGUUAUUCUUAGAAUUAUAGGAUUAGAGAGAACGAAGGAUUUAUAAUCCAUGUAGGAUAGUUCAACUGGUAUGAGUUGAUGGACAUAUGGGUUGGAUAGGGGAGGUUCUAUGAUAAAUUCCUGUCGGAUGCAAUUUAUCUUUUUUAUGUAAAAAAAAAAAGAGUACGAAGGAUUUGAUUUGAUUCUAUCAUUAAUAAGAUGAGAUAGACUUUCUGUGUAUCAAAGGGAAUUAGCAAGUAGGUCAAAUUAUGUUCAUUAUUGAACUAUAGGGCUAGACUUGAAUUGUUUUGGUUUCAGUUUGACUUUCCUAUGGUUCACUUCGUGGAGACUUUGUUCAUCGAUGCAACAUCUACUUUAGGCCACACUACAAGAUUGCAGCGUUUUACUAACGUUUAGUUACCGAUGGCUAUUAAACUGUCAGUUGUUACCCACAUUACCGACGGUCCAACUCUUGGGAACAUUGUCUCUCCAAGUAAAAAAAUUAACGACUGCUUUAGCUACCGGUAGUUGGCAGGAAGCUAGCAUAACGAGAAGGAAUUUGGAGGGUGAAAUGCUGAAGGGAAAUAUUCCGACAAUUUUGACUACCGAUAAAAUCACCAACUCGGUUCGACGGUUUAUGCCAACAAUUGUAGCUAUCGGUAAUUCUGUCGAUCAUUUUCGAGGUUUCAUUUGAAAAAUUUAUUGCACCGACUAUUUACCAGCAACUUUAAGCCUGAGGUAAUAGAAGUUUUUAAUAGGUUACCGACAAUUUUACCGACAGGUCGAUCGUCGGUAACAAAUAUACAAUGCUUUCUCUCAUCCCUUCAACACACUUCUCAUCUUUUCUCACCUUGUUGUAAUAAUUUUUUUAUGCUUUUGUUCAUUUUUAUUAUUUUUUUAAUUUUAGUGUUAUUGUUGUAUAUUAAUUUAUUUUGGUCCUAGAUUUUAUCUUUCUACAACCAUCUUAAAUAAAAUAAUAAAACACAAAAGAAGAAGAGAGAAAACUUAAAUGACCAAAAUUGAUUGGUUAUUGAAAGUCUCAUUAUUCUGUCCUUUUUCAUGUCUUUCCAAUUUAAAUAAACAAUUCCACAAUUCAUUUUGAUAAACAUCUCAUUUUUUCUAUCCGUUUUCAUGUAUUUCAAAUUAAAACAAACAAUUCUAUGAAAGUUUUUAAUAAUUGGGAGUAGAUAUGACGAUGUUAUUGAGCGAAUUUUAACUAUAGAAAUGGAGGAAACUACUUUUUUCUACGUCAUUGUUUUGCUUUUGAGAGACAAGCAAAUGCAUAAGAAAAUGGGAUAAGUAAUUUGAACCCUUUAAAAAAAAUAGCAUCUCAUUAUUUUAUUUUUUUGAAAUUACAUCUCAUUAUUUCUAACCUUAACUCUUGUAUGUCAUAGUGUAUUUAUACAUUUUUAUUUUUUGUAUAACAACAACAAAGAAAAAGAAAAAAGACAGAAAGAACUAAGGCCUAAAGAAGGCCACACCAUGCGUAUCAACUUGCAAAAGGGCAUAUAACCCCCCCAUCUAAAGGAGAGCUAGCUCCAAAAACACUGAAAGCAUUUGCAUUGGUUCAACCAAGCUUAGCCAAAUGAUUUGCGACGACAUUCCCUUCACGAAGCAAGUACCAACAAUGAACAACCCAACACUGACGAAGAAGACUCUUAAUGCUACUAAUUAUACAAGCAUAUUGAUGAAACAGAGGAUGAUUUGAAGUCAUAAGGCCUAGAAUGAUCAUUGAGUCCGUGAAAACUCCACACAUCUAUGCGCAUGUGUGAUACACCUAAAUUUUCAAAAGAAUAAAAAAUUUCCUACUAUAAAUACUCUUAAUAUUCCUUACUCAAAUCACCAUUAACAAUAAUAAAAUCUUUAACCCAUUAAAUGAUACAUGCAAACUGAAUCAAUCAUCCAUAAUUUAAAGCCAAUAAAAUGUUUACGAAGCUUAUUCAGUAAACAAAAACGAGAAUUAAAUAGUUUGGACAAGACAAGGUUCUUGAAGCCUUCGAUAGAACUAAUCAAUUCCAAGACACGUUACUUCAUCAUAACGCCAAAUAUCCUCAAAUUUUUCAUCUGGAUGCCUUCUUGGAUCAUAGUUAGGCCUCUGACAUCUGCAAAACCCAUUUACUUCACAAGAGAUAAUCUUUUUCAGGCAGGAGAUGCUCAAAUGAUUCGUCAAACUUUUGACCUCAUAAAGCACAAUGGAACCAUCUGGUCUAUCCCAAAUGGUGAUACUAUGACAUAUAUUUACCAACAGCAAACGUUCCAUGUUUUUGAGUACAUGGCACAAAGCUCUCAAAUUCACUGUUACGUCCCGGAUACUCAAGAUCAUCAAAUUUGGGGUGUGUUUAACCAAGGCAUCAGCAUGACGUUGUUCAAAGUUGAAAGUCAAUUUCAGUUGAGAGAGAUUCUUGC